This 74-nucleotide transfer RNA is filed under the name Thermoplasmata archaeon. RNAcentral describes it as "tRNA-Met". It matches the Rfam family "tRNA". Rfam says of the family: Transfer RNA (tRNA) molecules are approximately 80 nucleotides in length. Their secondary structure includes four short double-helical elements and three loops (D, anti-codon, and T loops). The record is from RNAcentral. RNAcentral also lists the same sequence under 1 other name. Lineage: Archaea; Methanobacteriati; Thermoplasmatota; Thermoplasmata.
GCCGAGGUGGCUCAGCCUGGUGGAGCGACAGACUCAUAAUCUGUAGGUCGCGGGUUCAAACCCCGCCCUCGGCA